RNAcentral lists this RNase P RNA (353 nucleotides) under Neiella holothuriorum. RNAcentral's name for it is "RNase P RNA component class A". It matches the Rfam family "Bacterial RNase P class A". Rfam says of the family: Ribonuclease P (RNase P) is a ubiquitous endoribonuclease, found in archaea, bacteria and eukarya as well as chloroplasts and mitochondria. Its best characterised activity is the generation of mature 5'-ends of tRNAs by cleaving the 5'-leader elements of precursor-tRNAs. The record is from RNAcentral. Lineage: Bacteria; Pseudomonadati; Pseudomonadota; Gammaproteobacteria; Alteromonadales; Echinimonadaceae.
GGAGUCGGCCUGACAAUCGCUGCUUUGCAUUAGCAAAGGGGAGGAAAGUCCGGGCUCCACAGGGCAGGGUGCCAGGUAACGCCUGGGGGGCGUAAGCCCACGACAAGUGCAACAGAGAGCAAACCGCCGAUGGCUCGCAAGAGUACAGGUAAGGGUGAAAGGGUGCGGUAAGAGCGCACCGCGUGGCUGGUAACAGUCAUGGCACGGUAAACUCCACCCGGAGCAAGGCCAAAUAGGCCCCUACGGACGCUGCCCGCGUUUGGGGGCGGGUAGGCUGCUUGAGCCAGUGAGCAAUUGCUGGCCUAGACGAAUGAUUGUCCACGACAGAACCCGGCUUAUGGCCGACUCCACCU